UAAAAGGGACAGCAUACCAGA
RNAcentral lists this non-coding RNA (21 nucleotides) under Mus musculus (house mouse). RNAcentral also lists the same sequence under 1 other name. Lineage: Eukaryota; Metazoa; Chordata; Mammalia; Rodentia; Muridae. The record is from RNAcentral.